Non-coding RNA from Pan troglodytes (chimpanzee), 148 nucleotides. It matches the Rfam family "Metazoan signal recognition particle RNA". From Rfam's summary of the family: The signal recognition particle (SRP) is a universally conserved ribonucleoprotein. NCBI's taxonomy places the organism in Eukaryota, Metazoa, Chordata, Mammalia, Primates, Hominidae. The record is from Rfam.
GCCAGGCGUGGUGGCGUACACCUGUAAUCCCAGCUACUUAGGAGGCUGAGGCAGAAGAAUCGCUUGAACCGGGGAGGCGGAGGUUGCAGUGAGCCGAGAUUGCACCACUGCACCCCAGCCUGGGUGACAGAGCGAGACUCUGUCUCAA